AAACUUGACGAUGAUGAAAUCAUCGAAUAUAUCCUCAAUGGCCUCAAUGCGGAUUAUAAUCCGAUUGUCUCUUCAAUGGUUGCUAAAGACAAUCUUACACUGACUGAUAUGUACGCUCAGUUCCUUUCUUAUGAAGC
This 137-nucleotide small nucleolar RNA is filed under the name Setaria italica (foxtail millet). RNAcentral describes it as "Small nucleolar RNA Z247". It matches the Rfam family "Small nucleolar RNA Z247". Rfam says of the family: Z247 is a member of the C/D class of snoRNA which contain the C (UGAUGA) and D (CUGA) box motifs. Most of the members of the box C/D family function in directing site-specific 2'-O-methylation of substrate RNAs. The record is from Rfam by way of RNAcentral. Lineage: Eukaryota; Viridiplantae; Streptophyta; Magnoliopsida; Poales; Poaceae. RNAcentral also lists the same sequence under 1 other name.